UUCAAAACACGCACAAUAGGAAGAGGACCGAAAGGGAAAUUUACCCAAACUGCCCAAAACGCUGCACAUCAUUUGGAUCAAUUUGAAAUAGAAAUAAAACAUAUUACGAAAUUUAAAAGAAAUAAAAAAUAAUUUAAAAAACUGUAAAAACAAGGGGACCAAAUGCGUAAAUGGCCCAUUUUGAACCCUAUAAAAUCCCAUUUUAAAACCCUAAAAUCAUUGCCCUUUUCUGCAAUAGCAGCCACCACAAGGACUGCUCCACCUUCUCCUCUGUUUUCAAGCCAAACUCCCCCCUUCCAACUUCGAUUUGGACGAAGAGAAGCAAAGAUGUCGAUGGCGCGCCUCUUUUGGUGAAGGAGAACGUGAAGGAGGUGUGUCGUGCAAGCACAACGUGGGCAGUAGAACGGUUGCUACAGCGUGGGCAGUUGCUGCGGCGCCAAUCUGCUGUUAGCCACUGCUUAGGGUUAGGCUGGGAUUUGGGUUAGUGACUUGGGCUUGUAAUGGGUUUGGGCUUUAGGCUUAGUUGGGCCCGGGUCAAAAAUUGGGUAUUACAAAUUUCAUAUUUAAAUGAUUUUCUAUAAUAAUUUCAUUUUAAUUUUAAAUAUAUUUUAAUCUAUUCUUUUUAAUGUAUAUGUUCUAGUAAACUAUAAAUUAAUAAUUUAAAGUGGUGCUCAAGAUUUUAAA
Gossypium raimondii (Peruvian cotton) is the source of this 684-nucleotide long non-coding RNA. RefSeq lists it as uncharacterized. The transcript is spliced from 2 exons. NCBI's taxonomy places the organism in Eukaryota, Viridiplantae, Streptophyta, Magnoliopsida, Malvales, Malvaceae. The record is from RefSeq and is a predicted model, not a curated record.